AGCGAACCGGGGGAACUGAAACAUCUAAGUACCCCGAGGAAAAGAAAUCAACCGAGAUUCCCCCAGUAGCGGCGAGCGAACGGGGAGCAGCCCAGAGUCUGAAUCAGCUUGUGUGUUAGUGGAACGGUCUGGAAAGUCCGACGGUACAGGGUGAUAGUCCCGUACACCAAAAUGCACAGGUUGUGAACUCGAAGAGUAGGGCGGGACACGUGGUAUCCUGUCUGAAUAUGGGGGGACCAUCCUCCAAGGCUAAAUACUCCUGACUGACCGAUAGUGAACCAGUACCGUGAGGGAAAGGCGAAAAGAACCCCGGCGAGGGGAGUGAAAAAGAACCUGAAACCGUGUACGUACAAGCAGUGGGAGCCUACUUGUUAGGUGACUGCGUACCUUUUGUAUAAUGGGUCAGCGACUUAUAUUCUGUAGCAAGGUUAACCGUAUAGGGGAGCCGAAGGGAAACCGAGUCUUAACUGGGCGUUAAGUUGCAGGGUAUAGACCCGAAACCCGGUGAUCUAGCCAUGGGCAGGUUGAAGGUUGGGUAACACUAACUGGAGGACCGAACCGACUAAUGUUGAAAAAUUAGCGGAUGACUUGUGGCUGGGGGUGAAAGGCCAAUCAAACCGGGAGAUAGCUGGUUCUCCCCGAAAGCUAUUUAGGUAGCGCCUCGUGAAUUCAUCUUCGGGGGUAGAGCACUGUUUCGGCUAGGGGGUCAUCCCGACUUACCAACCCGAUGCAAACUGCGAAUACCGAAGAAUGUUAUCACGGGAGACACACGGCGGGUGCUAACGUCCGUCGUGAAGAGGGAAACAACCCAGACCGCCAGCUAAGGUCCCAAAGUCAUGGUUAAGUGGGAAACGAUGUGGGAAGGCACAGACAGCCAGGAUGUUGGCUUAGAAGCAGCCAUCAUUUAAAGAAAGCGUAAUAGCUCACUGGUCGAGUCGGCCUGCGCGGAAGAUGUAACGGGGCUAAACCAUGCACCGAAGCUGCGGCAGCGACACUAUGUGUUGUUGGGUAGGGGAGCG
Molecule: ribosomal RNA, 1019 nt
Filed under: Citrobacter freundii
Lineage: Bacteria; Pseudomonadati; Pseudomonadota; Gammaproteobacteria; Enterobacterales; Enterobacteriaceae
Description: partial 23S ribosomal RNA
Rfam family: Bacterial large subunit ribosomal RNA
Source: RNAcentral